This 305-nucleotide ribosomal RNA is filed under the name uncultured bacterium. RNAcentral's name for it is "bacterial SSU rRNA". It matches the Rfam family "Bacterial small subunit ribosomal RNA", at positions 335 to 657 of the family's 1533-position model. The record is from RNAcentral.
CGCCCUACGGGGGGCAGCAGUGGGGAAUAUUGCACAAUGGGGGAAACCCUGAUGCAGCAACGCCGCGUGAGUGAAGAAGUAUUUCGGUAUGUAAAGCUCUAUCAGCAGGGAAGAAAAUGACGGUACCUGAAGAAGAAGCCCCGGCUAACUACGUGCCAGCAGCCGCGGUAAUACGUAGGGGGCAAGCGUUAUCCGGAUUUACUGGGUGUAAAGGGGGCGCAGACGGCGAUGCAAGCCAGGAGUGAAAGCCCGGGGCACAACCCCGGGACUGCUCUCGGAACUGCGAGGCUAGAGUGCAGGUGGGG